Molecule: ribosomal RNA, 464 nt
Filed under: uncultured bacterium
Lineage: Bacteria
Description: partial 16S ribosomal RNA
Rfam family: Bacterial small subunit ribosomal RNA
Source: RNAcentral
GACGAACGCUGGCGGCGUGCUUAACACAUGCAAGUCGAACGGAAAGGCCCCUUUGGGGGUACUCGAGUGGCGAACGGGUGAGUAACACGUGAGUAACCUGCCCUUGACUUCGUGAUAACUUCAGGAAACUGGGGCUAAUACCGGAUAGGAAUCCGUGCUGCAUGGUGGGGGUUGGAAAGCUUCGGCGGUUUUGGAUGGACUCGCGGCUUAUCAGCUUGUUGGUGGGUAGUGGCUUACCAAGGCUUUGACUGGGAGCCGGGCUGAGAGGGCGAACGGCCACAUUGGGACUGAGAUACGGCCCAGACUCCCACGGGGGGGAGGCGUGGGGAAUAUUGCAAAAUGGGCGGAAGCCUGAUGCAGGCAAGCCGCGUGCGGGAUGAAGGGCUUCGGGUUGUAAAACGCCUUCAGCAGGGGAGAAGCUUGUGGUGACGGUAACUGGAGAAGAAGCACCGGCUAACUACGUG